RNAcentral lists this ribosomal RNA (494 nucleotides) under uncultured bacterium. Its description in RNAcentral is "partial 16S ribosomal RNA". It matches the Rfam family "Bacterial small subunit ribosomal RNA", at positions 28 to 507 of the family's 1533-position model. The record is from RNAcentral.
GACGAACGCUGGCGGCGCGCUUAACACAUGCAAGUCGAACGGAAAGGCCUGCUUUCCCUUGUGGAUUGCGGGUACUCGAGUGGCGAACGGGUGAGUAACACGUGAGUGAUCUGCCCCCAACUUGGGUAUAAGCCUGGGAAACUGGGUCUAAUUCCCGAUAGGACUGCAGGGUGGUGCCUGUGGUGGAAAACGAUUUUCUAGUGGUUGGGGAUGAGCUCGCGGCCUAUCAGCUUGUUGGUGGGGUAAUGGCCUACCAAGGCGGCGACGGGUAGCCGGCCUGAGAGGGUGGACGGCGACAUUGGGACUGAGUAACGGCACAGACUCCUACGGGAGGCAGCAGUGGGGAAUAUUGCACAAGGGGCGGAAGCCUGAUGCAGCGACGCCGCGUGGGGGAUGACGGCCUUCGGGUUGUAAACUCCUUUCGACCGCGAGGAAGCCACCUGGUUGGAAGGGUGGUGACGGUAGUGGUAGAAGAAGCUCCGGCUAACUACGUG